RNAcentral lists this ribosomal RNA (1132 nucleotides) under Triticum aestivum (bread wheat). Its description in RNAcentral is "partial small subunit ribosomal RNA". Lineage: Eukaryota; Viridiplantae; Streptophyta; Magnoliopsida; Poales; Poaceae. The record is from RNAcentral.
GGUUGGUGUCGGCGUAGGGAGGGAGGGGGCAGAGCGCAGCGCCGUCGGUCGUUUCUCGAGAGGGGUCAAGGCUUGGGGCGGCUCUCGAGGGAGGGGGGUUUUUACGGGAGGCGGAGCGAGGAGGGGCAGUGGAGGCGGCCCCGCGUCGGGACGGGGUGGUACCGCGGCGGGGCGCCGGCCGCGGCUACGACGGCGCAGUGCCGGCGGAAGCGGGGCAGCGGAAGGCAGCCGGAGCCGGAGCCGGCGGCGCGGCAGAGGGAGCGGCCGCAGCGGCGGACCGAGCGGUGAUGGCGGCCGGCAUUCGUACGAUGAUGUUAUAAAGUUACCCGUCGAGCGGACACACAAAACCCGCUCGACACACGCUACACUCACUUUAAACGGCACAGUGCCCACAACGUCCCCGACUUCGGUCAGGCAAGCUGUUGAUGCAGUUCUUCUUCUUCGACCUCGGUAACCUCUGCAUGCAGGGCCGACACGACGACUGGGUUCUGGUCAAGUCCCUAGAUCUCUUUAGGAACCUUAAGCUCUUCGGUUCCAAACUACUCUCAUCUAGUAACGAAGCAAGACCAGGUCGUAGUAGAGAUGCGUAGUUAUAAGCCCGUCACCGUGUUAUACGAAGGUCAUUACCGGUUCCGUUUUGACGGAGACUACGUCACCUACUUACGAAUGCUCGCAACCUUCUAGAGCUGAGCGACGAUGAUUUCCGAAGUGCUUUUCUGAGCAGUCGUAGACAACUUCAGUACUCCUCGUUUUAGCGACAUCGGGAACCUCGUGAUCUGUUGGAGGACGUUUGGCACGGUAGUCGGCAAUACCUAUUUCCUUUCCGUUAACGACUACGUAUGUCCUGGGGAAGUCUACCAAUAAUACUUCUCCCAUUACCGCGUCUCAACCUGGGGUCGGACUUUGUCGACGUCCUGUAAGAAAUUACGACUUAGAACAAGUUCAAUUGUGUAGAACACAACAACUCAAGGAAGUCAUACUAACAUAACGUUUCAUCUUGGUUCAAGCAUCGUCUUAUGCAUGGACGCCGUCAGGAAGAUCUCUUAUCAUAAUAAUGAAAAGUGACAUCAUUUGACAUGUAGUCUUGUGGCAAAAAGAUUACAAAAUAUGGACUGACAGACAUGUUUAAUUU